Molecule: ribosomal RNA, 305 nt
Filed under: uncultured bacterium
Lineage: Bacteria
Description: bacterial SSU rRNA
Rfam family: Bacterial small subunit ribosomal RNA
Source: RNAcentral
UAAGACCUACGGGAGGCAGCAGUGGGGAAUAUUGCACAAUGGGGGAAACCCUGAUGCAGCAACGCCGCGUGAGUGAAGAAGUAUUUCGGUAUGUAAAGCUCUAUCAGCAGGGAAGAAAAAAGACGGUACCUGACUAAGAGGCCCCGGCUAACUACGUGCCAGCAGCCGCGGUAAUACGUAGGGGGCAAGCGUUAUCCGGAUUUACUGGGUGUAAAGGGAGCGUAGACGGCAUAGCAAGUCUGAAGUGAAAUGCCGCAGCUUAACUGCGGAACUGCUUUGGAAACUGGCGAACUAGAGUGCGGGAG